AGGGACUCUCAACCCUAAGCACAUACUUCUCCUUCCAUCUGGAACAUUCCUUACUGCCUUUCUUAACCCCAACUUCUGUCUGAUUAACUCAACCCUACAUACUAUGUAUAUAUAGACGGAGAGGAGAGAGAAGGGGAAGCGGCACACGGAAUAGAUCUACAGAGAGGAAAAGAUGAAAGGUCUGCCUACUACAUCAGCUUUCCUCCCUCCUCAUCCUCAAGGUCACCUGUCCCCUGCUCAGCCAUUUGCUUAUCAAAGCUUCAGCCAGAGCCAACUAUAUAGAAGCCAAGAGGGAAGCAAAUACAAAGAGGAGGAUUUACUAGAACUGCAGUGUGAAUGCAGCAGAAGGGGAAACACUCACACAAUUUCAUCAUAGAGCACUUCCAUCAGCAUCUCCCCAAGCAUGUCAGACAUCUUGCUUAGAGCACCACUGCUCCUAAGCCACUGCCAGGGCCUCAUCUGUCUACCGCACUGGAUGCACCAACUUGCAAAGGGAUCUCAAACAUCACAGAAGAGUGCUCCUCUCCACAAAACACUCACGGUCCCAAACGUUUUGAGGUGCGGUCGAAGAAAAAAAUUCUAGCACAGCGAAAUCAAUAAAAGGGAGUCCAACAAGUGGCAUCUGGUGGCUCAGUCAGUGAAGCGUCUGCCUUCCGCUCAGGUCAUAAUCCCAGAGUCCUGGAAUUGAACCCUGUAUUGGGCUCCCUGCUCAAUGGGGAGUCCGCUUCUUCCUCUGCCUCUGCUCCUCCACUCUGCUUGUGCACUUUCUCUCUCAAAUAAAUAAAUAAAAUCUUAAAAAUAAAUAAAUAAAAAAGAGUCCAAGGAGAGGAUAAAUGAAGCGGCAAAUGUUAGGAAAUUUGGCACAUGAACAUAAAGGUCUCUAUGGGGUACCACUCAAGAGUUAGCAUGUGCAUCACAUUCUCCCUGUCGCCUUAUGUGCAUUCUUUCCUUUAAACAUCACCAAAUCCCUGCGAAUCCCAGACUAUCGUUACCUCCAUUUUAUAGAUGAAGAGAUGAUGCUUGCAGGGGUUAUUGUUCAAGGUCAAACAGAGAGGAAGCCUUGGGUUCCUUGGUUCUAGGGCAGGGAGGUCUGCCUUAGAAGGUCACAUGACCAUGCUCAGAAGAAGUCAUUUCCUGCUUAUCCAUAUAUUUGACGAAUUACAUUACUAAUGUUUGUGAGAAUGCAAGUGAAUCCUUCCACGUAACAUACACAACUUUCUGGGGAGCUGCAGUUUCUGCUCAAGCACGUUUUGCCCCCGCAGCACUCCUUCUUGUGUCCAGUAUGUAUUGUUUCAGAUUUCUCUUAGCGGUGUUAAUUCUAGCCCAUCUGUUUAAUGAUACAGUGUGAUCUCAAGAGCCUUCUACUCAGAUGAGUAUCUCUGAAUGUCUAUCAGCAUCCCUACAUUUUUUUUCUACAGAUGGCAGGGGCCAUCAUGGCCUGUACUAAAAAGAGAAAGCAUUUGUAUCUGAUUCAGUUAGGAUUUCACACCAUUUUUUUUUUUUUUUUAAUUUAAGACAAGGAGGGAGAAGUGAAGUUUCCAACCUAGCAAACACAGCUGAACCGACUUCUGUUCUACCGGUUGUGUUACAGUCCUUCUCCCUCUAGUGUCCCUGGCUUAUUACUGCACAUUUUGGGCAGCUCAAUGACACUCUUCUGGAUUGCUCCUUUGCUUCUGUGUUCAGUGGGCACUGCCACUGUAGCACCUCCUGUGGGCUCAGCGCCACAAUCCAGGAUGCCAGCCACACAGAAGGGUCCGGUGCCCUGGGGACGCGCUCUCACACCAUGACAGGCAUGAGGGUCACCCCAUGGCCCAAGAGCAUUCUCACCCUCUUUCCUAACUCUGCAGCUCCCUCUGACUUCGCAUCACCUCCAG
Molecule: long non-coding RNA, 1874 nt
Filed under: Canis lupus familiaris (dog)
Lineage: Eukaryota; Metazoa; Chordata; Mammalia; Carnivora; Canidae
Description: lncRNA (ENSCAFG00845028437.1)
Source: RNAcentral